AUGACAGUAGUAAUCUUUCACGAUGUAGAUAAGAGAAUCAUAUCAUCUUCUGUCAAAGGAUGAACAUCUUAGAGAUAAAUUCCAUUUUUCUCACAAAAUUUAUUAUUUUGAUCGAUUACGUGAAUGGCAGACGUAGUGGAUUACAGUAUUUUUAAAAUAACUUUUGCAAAAUUAAUUGUAAUACAACUUUCCAUGUACAAACAUAACUGUUACGUUCUUGCUGUUCGUAUUAUAUUAUCAAUUUUUACUAAAUAUCUUUAACCAUAGAAUAACAAACACUAGAAAUACAACUCGUCCAAGAUAUUGAUAACAAAAAUCAUUUAUCAGACAAUUCCUGAUAUCAAUAAUACGAUGCUCCACUUUCAUCUGCACAUAGUGAAACAGCAUUGAACAGGAGAAAGUUUUUAAUUUUGCUUUACAGGAAAGAGACUUCCAUUUUUCUCCAUUAGAUUCCAGAAAGUUUACGUAAACAUCAUUAAAUCUCCAGGAGCCAUACAGACUGCGAAAAAUAGUUUUAGCAGCAUUGUAAAGCGUUAUAGCGAUCACUUAAGAACUAGAAGUUGAGUCAGCUCAAAAAAAUGAUAAUUAAAAAUAUAACAUUUUAGGAAACCAUGGGUGGCCAGCGCUAUUGAAUACCGUGGACUAACUCCAUCUAGUUACCUCUGGCUCAAGCUUCUAUUAUUAUUCCAUUAUCCUCGGUAUGACUGCUGCACGGGAAACUUCCGUGAAUGUAACGUAAACUUUAGAACAAUGUGUAUGUUGGUAAUAUUUCACAGACUUACAAGCUUUCCAGAGGAAAAGAGGGAUUUGUAGAUCGGUGUCGAGUGUCCAAGUUCGCCAUUGGUAUAAUAACACGACCUUGUUAAUGCCAUACUAUAGAUAUACUAUUGCUAUGCUGACGCAAUAAGACUACUUACGUCAGACUAUAUUAUUAUUUAGUGUCACAUAAAUUAUCAUAGGACAAAACUCUUGUGAAUGAUGUUAAUAAUAUUCAAAUAAUGAGUAACGAGCCAAUAGUGGAAUUAAAAAUGUGUUUUUACAACCGAAAUGUAUAACGGAUAAUUAUCGACAUGUAUAAAAAUACUCAGUAUGAUUAGAGUAGUCACCGGUCGCUCUUGUCAUUCUAAAUGUAUGCAUAUGAAAUAUUUCCUAAAAUCUCAAGAUCAGGUCUUAAUGUAUAUGUUUAAAGACAAGUUUAGUUAAACCCAGCUAUUUUUAAUUGUAAACAAUUUAUGGAAUGUAAUUGACGAAUUUCAAGUUUAAAUUUAAUUCGCAAAAUUGGGACUGUAUUAUUGUUCAGUACAAUUACCAGCUAACGAGUGGAAAAAGUUAUUGUUUAAAAAAUAAUGUGUAUAUAUUCUUUUGGUGUACGAUUUUGAGACAAUUAAAACAGGCUUAUGAAUUUAUUAAUUACUUAUUAAAUUUUAAUUUGACUGCUGAUCGCUAUCCCGGUGGUUUCCCUAACAGAGUGACCAUUAUUGCCGUAUACAAAUGAUCAAAGAAGUAUUUUGGCAUUAUCAAAAAAGUUUGCUGGCUAAUCGCAUAAAUAUAACACAGCACCAUGAUAUUGCGCUUACGAAACAUCAUGCUAUUAAUUCGGUGAGUAACUUCGCUUAUAAACUCUAGGGUCGAACUCCGAUAAUUAUAAUUUAAAAGCACUUAUCGUAUCAGUUGCAGAAAACAAAAUAUGCGAUCCCUUUAAGACGAUAUAAUUUAUCUUGUUGAAUAAAUGAAAUCAGGCAAUCAUUAAAAUACAUUAAAAUAGAAGACUGCAAAUUUUCAAGCAUUAACUGCAAUUGAUAUGCAAAACUGGUAUUGAGCAUUACGUUCACGGCCAGUAGUUUGUUUCGCCUUGAUGGGUAUGCUCUUGAACUAAUGAAAGAUAUUCAUGUGUUCAUUCACCCUGUAUAGUCAUACUCUCAAGUCAUACUCGUUUUGAAAUUUACAGGAAUUGGCGUUAUCAAGGACCUAUAGUUCGUCCGUGAUAACAUCCCUGUAGUAAAGGAUGAAAUUGAUUUAUUUAACUGUGACCACAUUUUUAAUCAGAGUAUACUAUACUGCUCAGGUCAAAAUAGCUUAGUAAUGAUAUUACAUAUUUAAUAUUUAUGAAUAAUUUAUAUUAUUUUUAUAGACAGAAAUAUUAUAUGACAAAAAAGAGUAUAUUAAUUUGAAUGUCUGGUUUUUAUUAGUUUUAAAAGUUUCUAACAGUUGCAGGUCACGUAGAUACGAGAUCGUCAUUUGUUUCACACAUGUAUAAUUUUGGAAAAACAUUUUUUGAAAUUUAUUAAAAAUUUUUCGUACGAGUAAGAUCAAAAUUUGAGCCCGAUCGAUUUUAAUUAAUAAUAUACAAUCUACUCCAAACAAAUAAUUCAUUAGAAAUAAGUUGCUGUAUAUGGCGAUAUUCGACUGGAACAGUAUCAAUAAAAUAUUCGCACUCUUUGCAGUAACUGCACAUGCAGCCAUUUGUACUUAUACAAAUGUCAUAAAAAUGUCUAAAUUUGGAACAGAAUACUAAUAGAAGAUACUUCGGAACUGCAUGCUAUAUCUUCGAAGCUGAAAGAAUCUUAAAAGAAGAGAUAUCCAGGAGGCAACAAACAAAAUGGAGACUUAUCCAAAGCAAGCGCCAGCUUCAAAUAUAUCAAUCGUAAAGGACGAUAAAAGUGAACCGAACAGAUUGCAAGUUCCUUUGGAACUGAAAGCUAGCGGGGAAAAGAUUGCAAAAACAUCCGAAGAGUCUGGACAUAUCUCAAAUAGAUCAAAAGACAGCAAAGAGCCAAGUGUCUGUGACGAGGAACCUUUCAUCCUGAAAUUAUUUAGAAGUCUAACCGGUUCCGAGGUGGUACAGAGUAAAAAAAAUUUUUUUCAAAAACGUCAAGAGUGAUGCACCAUAAUAAAAGGCAUUUUCAUCGAUGGAGCAGUGUAUAUUCCUCGUGAUUUAAUUACAGCAAUAUAUGUGUAUAGCCACUGCAUUACGAUAGAUGGCUAUAUGUACAAAGCAUAUAUUAAAAUGUCAUACAGACUCUGCUUCAUCUACUGCAUUAUAAUAUUCAAGAAUAACGGAAGACAAUUUUCGAGUUCGAAGCGUCUCCUGCCCUGAACUUUGCUCCGAUACAUUAUUCAGAAGAAUGAAUAAACGCAUGAACGUCGACCGAACACGUAAAGAAGAAACAGUCCGGGAUACCUAAAUACCCUAAGUUCAUAAAAGAUACAAUUUAAAAAGAUUUGCUGCAUUCUGAUGAAUCCAGAUAAAAUAUCUAUAACUAUCUAUCCACAUCACAGGGUGAUAAACAUUAAAAAAUGAAAAAAGAUGCAUUAACGUCGAAGACGUACUAUAUCUAUAUACUAUUGUAAUAUCUAAUAUGAUAUUAAGUGAAUUUAUAUGGGACAUAAAAAACGCAAUGUGACGGAUAAUCGUAGAAAUUCUAUAUACAGAAAGAAUUUAUUGAAGAAUUUUCGACAGUAGCGUAGACUGACUGCCUGUAAAUUUGGUAGAUCCUACGCCACUGUUGCACGUAGAAAACCUGUUACACGUGCAGCAGCUUCAUAUGUAUAUGCUUUGUCAAAGUUUAGGGGCGAAUUAGUAGAAGAACGUGUCAAAAAUUCAAGAAAAUCAGUCUCCUCGUUAAUUAUAUUCCUGAAUUUUCCAUCAAAAGUAACUGGUUCGACAAAAUGUAUGGGAGCCAUUAAAUUCAUUUCUAACACUGGCCUUCAACUCACCACACGA
Molecule: long non-coding RNA, 3724 nt
Organism: Cephus cinctus (wheat stem sawfly)
Lineage: Eukaryota; Metazoa; Arthropoda; Insecta; Hymenoptera; Cephidae
Exons: 4
Source: RefSeq, a predicted model, not a curated record